This is a long non-coding RNA of Etheostoma spectabile (orangethroat darter), 179 nucleotides long. RefSeq lists it as uncharacterized. Lineage: Eukaryota; Metazoa; Chordata; Actinopteri; Perciformes; Percidae. The transcript has 2 exons. The record is from RefSeq and is a predicted model, not a curated record.
GGAGAAUGCUGGCUAAAAUAUGCAGCCAUUGGCACUCUUCAUCCCAACAGUCUACAUCCGUUUUCCCCACUCACUCCGUGGAUUCAUCCUGCUUCCUCCACUUUGGUUUGGUCAGUGCUCCCGUCUCCCUGCGCAGUGUCGGUGAUGUGUAGACGGCCUGUGAGUUCAAAAGCCAUAAA